AAUAUCACAUAUAACUUCAUUCGUGAUCCUUUUUCUUUGAAAUCCUUCUUUUUAUCGGGUACCCUUGAAGUGUGGUACUUGACUGAUAGCAAUAGGCUUUGGUUUUCGGAACCUGUUCAUCAUAUUUGGCCAAUAGAUAAUACGGGGGUUUCCAUACCGGCCUUUCGACCUCAGGUAUUAGCCGUAUUUCAUUUCUUUAAUUGUGGGUUUUCCAUACUGGUCUUUCGACCUCAGGUAUUUGCCACCAUGUGUUGGGUCCGCCGGUCCCUCCCGCGUCCCUUGCCUACCCGACCAUCAAUCAAGUACCAUACCCCCAUUUUGAAAACAUAUUCUUUCAUAUCACUAUGACUCAUCAAUUAUUCAAACAUCAUAUAGAACACGUAGCAAAAGUCACAUUAAAGAACACAUAAUUAGGUUUUUAUGAUGAACAAAUAGAAGCUUCAACUUACCUCAAAAUCAAUAUGGUGUAUGAAGUGAAAGGAUCAGUUCUUAGAUGAGGUGUGCUACGAGACUUGAUUAGAGAUGAAUUCAAACUUCAAAACGUAGGAUUUUCAGCUAGAAAAGGUGCAGAACUUGUUCUAGCUCUACUUCUAUGAGUUCUUAUGUUUGAUGUUCUCUUAUGUAAGUAUGGAAGUGAAGAAAUAUGAAGAGAAGCUUAAGGAAAUAGGUCUGGUCGUUUUUUGGAAGAAGACAAGUGAAAUGAAGACCAAAACACAAAGUCUUCACUUAUCUAGCCAUUCCCAACAAGGCCAAAUGGAGGAUGAUGAUUGGAAGGCUUGUAUUUGCUGGAUUCUUGUGCUUCCUCCACGUUUUUAUAGCUUGAGAUAAGAUGGGGGCUGAUGCUUACUCAUUAUAAUCAACUGUAAACAAUUUGAGAAUGGUCUUGUGCAACCUAGUCAACCAACCAAUCAAAUUGCACCCUUUUGCAUACUUUUGAUUUUAGUCUAAUAUGAGCUACUUCAUGUAAUUAUAUAUGUAAUUAAUCAUAUUAAAAUGUAAUUAAAAUGCAGAAAUGCAUCUAGGACGAAUAUAUGACCGUUUAGCACAUUUUCAGACAAUUAUUCGAUCCCGUAUUAAAACACAAUUAAGGCACAUGUGUAGCAAGUAGUCGUGAUCAUGCAUCAUGAAUAAUGAAUUAUAACUGCAUGAAUUGAUGCAAUAUGCUUAUUAUUGGCCAUGUAUGGAUGAUUGGGCAUUACAAUCCUUCCCUCCUUAUAAAAUUUCGCCCUCGAAAUUUGACAUACCUAACUAUUAUGGAUAUUUGCUAUGCAUUUCUAAUGCACAAUCAUGACAAUGGCAUAUAUAUAUUAAUAAAUCAAACAAAUAGGUAAAUAAGAAGAGAGUUAACCAAGCUUCCCAGCCAAAGUAUGUUCAUAUGCCUUCUUCUGUCUUCAGAAAAGAUUUUAAACCUCCGCUCUGAUACCAAAAAUGUAACGCCCCACAACCUAACAGCAGAAUCCAAUCGGAUCACCACCAUUAAGUUAGGGAUGCUACCCUUUUAUAUAUACACUUAAACAUUAUGGUUUUAAUACAAAAAUACGUUAUAUGCUUUGAAAAGAAAUCAAACUUUGUACUUUCUCGAAAUCUGUACAUAUAUAUACAUAUUUAUUGUUUACAAAAUUAUAUUGUACAAAAACCAUAAUAGAGCGGCUAACAAAAUGAAAUCAGAGUUUCUAGCUCGGCUACAAAAAUGGCGCGAAGAAUGGCAUAUGAACAAAUAUCUGACUGGCCGCUCUUGGCUAGGUCAAUUUCUAAACAUGUACAUCAUUACCUGCAUCAUAAGAACCUAAUGGUAACGCCCCACAACCUAACUGCAGAAUCAAAUCGGAUCACCACCGUUAAGUUAGGGAUGCUAACCUUUUUAUAUAUUUACUUGAACAUUAUGGUUUUAAUACAAAAAUACGUUAUAUGCUUUGUAAAGAAAUCAAACUCUGUACUUUCCCGAAAUCUGUACAAAUAUGGAUAUAUAUUGUUUACAAAAUUACUUUGUACAAAAACCAUAAUAGAGCGGCUAGAAAAAUGAAAUCAGAGUUUCUAGCUCGGCUACAAAAAUGGCGCGAAGCAUGGCAUAUGAACAAAACUCUGUCUGGCCGCUCUUGGCUAGGUCAACUUCUAAACAUGUACAUCAUUACCUGCAUCAUAAGAACCUAAUGAGCUAAUGGCUCAGCAAGUUGAAACGGAUGUAAUAGCAAUAUAUCACAUAACACGUUAUUCAUUCAAUAUGUACAAUAUCACAUAUAACUUCAUUCGUGAUUCUUUUUCUUUGAAAUCCUUCUCUUUAUCGGGUACCCUUGAAGUGUGGUACUUAACUGAUAGCAAUAGGCUUUGGUUUUCGGAACCUGUUCAUCAUAUUUGGCCAAUAGAUAAUACGGGGUUUCCAUACCGGCCUUUCGACCUCAGGUAUUAGCCGUACUUUAUUUCAUUAAUUGUGGGUUUUCCAUACUGGUCUUUCGACCUCAGGUAUUUGCCACCAUGUGUUGGGUCCGCCGGUCCCUCCCGCGUCCCUUGCCUACCCGACCAUCAAUCAAGUACCAUACCCCCAUUUUGAAAACAUAUUCUUUCAUAUCACUAUGACUCAUCAAUUAUUCA
RNAcentral lists this long non-coding RNA (2589 nucleotides) under Erythranthe guttata (spotted monkey flower). RNAcentral describes it as "long non-coding RNA (EGUT_LNC003479)". The record is from RNAcentral. Lineage: Eukaryota; Viridiplantae; Streptophyta; Magnoliopsida; Lamiales; Phrymaceae.